This 32-nucleotide transfer RNA is filed under the name Williopsis mrakii. Its description in RNAcentral is "Cyberlindnera mrakii partial tRNA-Arg". Lineage: Eukaryota; Fungi; Ascomycota; Saccharomycetes; Phaffomycetales; Wickerhamomycetaceae. The record is from RNAcentral.
UAUACAUAGGGGUUCGAUUCCCUUAGAGUGUG